UGAGGAAUAUUGGUCAAUGGGAGAGAUCCUGAACCAGCCAAGCCGCGUGAGGGAAGACGGCCCUAUGGGUUGUAAACCUCUUUUGUCGGAGAACAAAACCCGGGACGAGUCCCGGACUGCGUGUAUCCGAAGAAAAAGCAUCGGCUAACUCCGUGCC
This 157-nucleotide ribosomal RNA is filed under the name uncultured bacterium. Its description in RNAcentral is "partial 16S ribosomal RNA". It matches the Rfam family "Bacterial small subunit ribosomal RNA", at positions 355 to 509 of the family's 1533-position model. The record is from RNAcentral.